UGGGGAAUAUUGCACAAUGGGCGCAAGCCUGAUGCAGCAACGCCGCGUGCGGGAAGAAGGCCCUAGGGUUGUAAACCGCUUUCAGCAGGGAAGAAACUGACGGUACCUGCAGAAGAAGGUGCGGCCAACUACGUGCCAGCAGCCGCGGUGACACGUAGGCACCAAGCGUUGUCCGGAUUUAUUGGGCGUAAAGAGCUCGUAGGCGGUUCAGUAAGUCGGGUGUGAAAACUCUGGGCUCAACCCAGAGACGCCACCCGAUACUGCUGUGACUAGAGUGCGGUAGGGGAGCGGGGAAUUCCUGGUGUAGCGGUGAAAUGCGCAGAUAUCAGGAGGAACACCAGUGGCGAAGGCGCCGCUCUGGGCCGUAACUGACGCUGAGGAGCGAAAGCAUGGGUAGCAAACAGGAUUAGAUACCCUGGUAGUCCAUGCCGUAAACGUUGGGCACUAGGUGUGGUCUCAACCAACGAGAUCCGCGCCGUCGCUAACGCAUUAAGUGCCCCGCCUGGGAGUACGGUCGCAAGAUUAAAACUCAAAUGAAUUGA
This 542-nucleotide ribosomal RNA is filed under the name uncultured bacterium. RNAcentral's name for it is "bacterial SSU rRNA". It matches the Rfam family "Bacterial small subunit ribosomal RNA", at positions 355 to 913 of the family's 1533-position model. The record is from RNAcentral.